RNAcentral lists this ribosomal RNA (466 nucleotides) under uncultured bacterium. RNAcentral's name for it is "partial 16S ribosomal RNA". It matches the Rfam family "Bacterial small subunit ribosomal RNA", at positions 28 to 507 of the family's 1533-position model. The record is from RNAcentral.
GAUGAACGCUGGCGGCGUGCUUAACACAUGCAAGUCGAACGAUGAAGCCCAGCUUGCUGGGUGGAUUAGUGGCGAACGGGCGAGUAACACGUGCGUAACCUGCCCUUCUCUCUGGGUUAAGCCUGGGAAACUGGGCCUAAUACCGGAUAGGAGCGUCCACCGCAUGGUGGGUGUUGGAAAGAUUUAUCGGUUUUGGAUGGACUCGCGGCCUAUCAGCUUGUUGGUGAGGUAAUGGCUCACCAAGGCGACGACGGGUAGACGGCCUGAGAGGGUGACCGGCCACACUGGGACUGAGACACGGCCCAGACGCCUACGUGAGGCAGCAGUGGGGAAUAUUGCACAAUGGGCGCAAGCCUGAUGCAGCGACGCCGCGUGAGGGAUGACGGCCUUCGGGUUGUAAACAUCUUUCAGUAGGGAAGAAGCGAAAGUGACGGUACCUGCAGAAGAAGCACCGGCUAACUACGUG